UAUUAAGUUUUAUUUUGAAUUUAAGAAAAUUUGCACUCCGAAAGGGUUCAAAAGAAAUUAAAGAAUUAGUAAAUCGUACUUUUUGCAUAACGGCUAUUCCAAAAGUAAGUAAAUUUUUACUUUCCCGAAAUAAGAAGAUCUAAGCUAGAGCUUUUAUUAGAAAUUAAGAAGUUAUGUUUCAUUAUGACACUAAGAUUCAAGCUUAGGGGCGAAAAACCUACAAUUCUUAUGAUAUCUGGAUGUUUACGAAAAGUAUUUAGUACUAAAGACAAACAGUAAGUGCUUAGAUUUACUGUGAAGAGUAUAGUAAAUUCAUAAAAUUUCUUUAGGGUUAACACUCGAAUUUAACUAAUAAAAUAAAAAGAUUUAUUUUGUCGAAGAUCUCCGUUAUUAGUAAACUUGUAUGUGAACUAAAACUUCUAUAUUUAUGAUUAGAUGAGUAAUGCUGAAAAAAUACAGAAAAGGAAUUCGGCAAAUCUUUAUCUCAACUGUUUAUCAAAAACAUAGCCUAGGGAAAAUUAUCCUAGGUGAAACCUGCCCGGUGACUAGAUUUUAACGGCCGCGGUACUUUGACCGUGCUAAGGUAGCGUAAUCAGUUGACUUUUAAAUGAAGUCUUGUAUGAAUGGAUUUAUGGGAUUAAGCUGUCUCUUCUGUAUUCUAUUGAAAUUACUAAUUAGGUGAAAAGGCCUAUAAAUGAAAAAAGACGAGAAGACCCUUAGAGUUUUAAUAAAUAGGUUUUUGUUGGGGCGACAAGAAGACAUAUAUAACUCUUCUAUUAGAAAAAUACUUGCCGGUUCUUUUAAGUAUGGAUAAACUACCUUAGGGAUAACAGCAUAAUCCAAUUUGGGUUUGUGACCUCGAUGUUGGACUAGGAAAAUUAUGCCCUAGCAGGGUGUAUAUUUAGGUUCUGUUCGAACUUUUAUUCCUACAUGAUCUGAGUUCAGACCGGCGUAAGCCAGGUCAGAUUCUAUCUUUUAAUAUUUGCGGUUUUAGUACGAAAGGACCAAACUAAGCAGUUAUUUAUAAC
RNAcentral lists this ribosomal RNA (1028 nucleotides) under Aplysia argus. RNAcentral describes it as "16S ribosomal RNA". It matches the Rfam family "Bacterial large subunit ribosomal RNA", at positions 577 to 2715 of the family's 2925-position model. The record is from RNAcentral. Lineage: Eukaryota; Metazoa; Mollusca; Gastropoda; Aplysiida; Aplysiidae.